AUUGAACGCUGGCGGCAGGCCUAACACAUGCAAGUCGAGCGGAUGAAGGGAGCUUGCUCCUGGAUUCAGCGGCGGAUGGGUGAGUAAUGCCUAGGAAUCUGCCUGGUAGUGGGGGAUAACGUCCGGAAACGGGCGCUAAUACCGCAUACGUCCUGAGGGAGAAAGUGGGGGAUCUUCGGACCUCACGCUAUCAGAUGAGCCUAGGUCGGAUUAGCUAGUUGGUGGGUAAAGGCCUACCAAGGCGACGAUCCGUAACUGGUCUGAGAGGAUGAUCAGUCACACUGGAACUGAGACACGGUCCAGACUCCUACGGGAGGCAGCAGUGGGGAAUAUUGGACAAUGGGCGAAAGCCUGAUCCAGCCAUGCCGCGUGUGUGAAGAAGGUCUUCGGAUUGUAAAGCACUUUAAGUUGGGAGGAAGGGCAGUAAGUUAAUACCUUGCUGUUUUGACGUUACCAACAGAAUAAGCACCGGCUAACUUCGUG
RNAcentral lists this ribosomal RNA (483 nucleotides) under uncultured bacterium. RNAcentral's name for it is "partial 16S ribosomal RNA". It matches the Rfam family "Bacterial small subunit ribosomal RNA", at positions 30 to 507 of the family's 1533-position model. The record is from RNAcentral.